UGGCGUUUGGUCUAGUGGUAUGAUUCUCGCUUAGGGUUUCUUCUCUGGAAUGCGAGAGGUCCCGAGUUCAAUCCUCGGAACGCCCC
Molecule: non-coding RNA, 86 nt
Organism: Hyaloraphidium curvatum
Lineage: Eukaryota; Fungi; Monoblepharomycota; Hyaloraphidiomycetes; Hyaloraphidiales; Hyaloraphidiaceae
Source: the annotation of a GenBank genome assembly